UCGAGGAUCUUCGGCAAUGGGGGCAACCCUGACCGAGCGACGCCGCGUGUGCGACGAAGGCCUUCGGGUUGUAAAGCACUGUCGAGGGGGAGGAAAGCCGUAAGGUUUGACCUAUCCCUGGAGGAAGCUCGGGCUAAGUUCGUGCCAGCAGCCGCGGUAAGACGAACCGAGCGAACGUUGUUCGGAAUCACUGGGCUUAAAGGGCGCGUAGGCGGACUGCCGCGUCCGGGGUGAAAUCCCACGGCUCAACCGUGGAACGGCCCCGGAUACGGGCGGUCUCGAGGGAGGUAGGGGCAUGCGGAACUACGGGUGGAGCGGUGAAAUGCGUUGAUAUCCGUGGGAACUCCGGUGGCGAAGGCGGCGUGCUGGACCUCACCUGACGCUGAGGCGCGAAAGCCAGGGGAGCAAACGGGAUUAGAUACCCCGGUAGUCC
This 433-nucleotide ribosomal RNA is filed under the name uncultured bacterium. Its description in RNAcentral is "bacterial SSU rRNA". It matches the Rfam family "Bacterial small subunit ribosomal RNA", at positions 355 to 796 of the family's 1533-position model. The record is from RNAcentral.